Molecule: ribosomal RNA, 468 nt
Filed under: uncultured bacterium
Lineage: Bacteria
Description: partial 16S ribosomal RNA
Rfam family: Bacterial small subunit ribosomal RNA
Source: RNAcentral
GACGAACGCUGGCGGCGUGCUUAACACAUGCAAGUCGAACGGAAAGGCCCUGCUUUUGUUGGGUUCUCGAGUGGCGAACGGGUGAGUAACACGUGAGUAACCUGCCCUUGACUUUGGGAUAACUUCAGGAAACUGGGGCUAAUACCGGAUAUGAGCUCCUGCUGCAUGUUGGGGGUUGGAAAGUUUCGGCGGUUUGGGAUGGACUCGCGGCUUAUCAGCUUGUUGGUGGGGUAGUGGCUUACCAAGGCUUUGACGGGUAGCCGGCCUGAGAGGGUGACCGGCCACAAUGGGACUGAGAUACGGACCAGAAUCCUACGGGAGGCAGCAGUGGGGAAUAUGGCAGAAUGGGGGGAAGCCUGAGGCAGCAACGCCGGGUGCGGGAUGACGGGCUUCGGGUUGUAAACCGAUGUGGACUGUGACGAAGAGGGAGUGACGGUAAUGGGUAAAGAAGCACCGGCUAACUACGUG